Molecule: ribosomal RNA, 459 nt
Filed under: uncultured bacterium
Lineage: Bacteria
Description: partial 16S ribosomal RNA
Rfam family: Bacterial small subunit ribosomal RNA
Source: RNAcentral
CCUACGGGUGGCAGCAGUGAGGAAUAUUGGUCAAUGGUCGGGAUCCUGAACCAGCCAAGCCGCGUGAGGGAUGACGGUACUGUGUAUUGUAAACCUCUUUUGUCAGGGAACAAAAUCCGGGACGCGUCCCCGGCUGCGUGUACCUGAAGAAAAAGCAUCGGCUAACUCCGUGCGAGCAGCCGCGGUAAUACGGAGGAUGCGAGCGGUAUCCGGAUUUAUUGGGUUUAAAGGGUGCGUAGGCGGUCUGUUAAGUCAGCGGUCAAAGCCCGGGGCUCAACCCCGGCCCGCCGUUGAAACUGGCAGUCUCGAGUUGGAGAGAAGUAUGCGGAAUGCGCGGUGUAGCGGUGAAAUGCAUAGAUAUCGCGCAGAACUCCGAUUGCGAAGGCAGCAUGCCGGCUCCACACUGACGCUGAGGCACGAAAGCGUGGGUAUCGAACAGGAUUAGAUACCCCUGUAGUC